This 64-nucleotide transfer RNA is filed under the name Prosthiostomum siphunculus. RNAcentral describes it as "tRNA-Tyr". It matches the Rfam family "tRNA". From Rfam's summary of the family: Transfer RNA (tRNA) molecules are approximately 80 nucleotides in length. Their secondary structure includes four short double-helical elements and three loops (D, anti-codon, and T loops). Further hydrogen bonds mediate the characteristic L-shaped molecular structure. tRNAs have two regions of fundamental functional importance: the anti-codon, which is responsible for specific mRNA codon recognition, and the 3' end, to which the tRNAs corresponding amino acid is attached (by aminoacyl-tRNA synthetases). tRNAs cope with the degeneracy of the genetic code in two manners: having more than one tRNA (with a specific anti-codon) for a particular amino acid; and 'wobble' base-pairing, i.e. permitting non-standard base-pairing at the 3rd anti-codon position. Lineage: Eukaryota; Metazoa; Platyhelminthes; Polycladida; Prosthiostomidae. The record is from RNAcentral.
AGUGAGAUAGUCUAAAAAAGGCGUCAGACUGUAGAUCUGAAAAUAACAAGUAAGUUUCUCACAA